RNAcentral lists this ribosomal RNA (253 nucleotides) under uncultured bacterium. RNAcentral describes it as "partial 16S ribosomal RNA". It matches the Rfam family "Bacterial small subunit ribosomal RNA", at positions 524 to 776 of the family's 1533-position model. The record is from RNAcentral.
UACGUAGGGGGCAAGCGUUGUCCGGAAUCAUUGGGCGUAAAGCGCGUGUAGGCGGCUGAGUAAGUCUGCUCUGAAAGCCCGGGGCUCAACCCCGGGAGGCGGGUGGAUACUGCUCAGCUCGAGUCCGGAAGAGGAGAGUGGAAUUCCCGGUGUAGCGGUGAAAUGCGCAGAUAUCGGGAAGAACACCCGUAGCGAAGGCGGCAUUCUGGGCCGGUACUGACGCUGAGGAGCGAAAGCGUGGGGAGCAAACAGG